Molecule: long non-coding RNA, 678 nt
Organism: Epinephelus moara (kelp grouper)
Lineage: Eukaryota; Metazoa; Chordata; Actinopteri; Perciformes; Serranidae
Exons: 3
Source: RefSeq, a predicted model, not a curated record
AUACUAGCUGUACUAGUUUACAGCAAAUGCAAACUAACACAACAAAUGAUAACAAUCUCAAAAAUCGACACUGUCCAGUGUUUUUAAUAUUCAACAGGUGAUGACUGAUGCUUUUUGAUCAUGUUAGCAGCAGUCCAUCCCUUGGUAUGGUAAUGUAAAUAGUGAGGUAGUUAGCUUGGAUGAACUAAGCUAAACCAAACACCGCCUGCAGCCCACAGGAAACCCCCCAAACACAGCUGAUAUGACACUAUUAUGACAGCUGGUGCAGACACCAGGACAGGCGAGCAGGUAUUUCAGUGUCACCAAACUAAAGCCAGCUAGCGAGCUAACUUUAGCCAACUGCUACCUAGCUUCACCAAAGACCCACUUUGGGUUUCCAAACGGACCAUCAAAACAAGCUAAGGGGUCCUCGGCCUGAAAAACUUUGAAGACCCCUGAUUUACGACAUCAAAAUCACUCCCACUUCAAAGGCAGAUAUUUCAUGUAAUGCUGAGAGCUCAGACAUAUCAGGUGACAUGAAAUAACCUCACUUCCCCGGCCCACGGGAUCAUGUGACAACAGGCCACCAGCAGCCAAAUCCUCUCUGGAUCAAACUACAGCAUCAUGUACAGUUGCAAAGAAGCAAUCGCCUAAGUAUGUUUAUCCCAGGAGGGGAGCACUAAUGCUAAUAAAGAUGAA